Molecule: long non-coding RNA, 1680 nt
Organism: Equus caballus (horse)
Lineage: Eukaryota; Metazoa; Chordata; Mammalia; Perissodactyla; Equidae
Source: Ensembl
GAGGCAGGCAGAAGUGAUCCAGAGUUCAGGCUCCCCCUUGCCUUUCAUCCUCCCAUUCUCCUUCUACGCCACCUCCUCUUCUUCCGGUCUCUCCAUCUGGAAACCAUGAGCCUCAUGGAUUCCAGGCACAAAUUCUCAGAUUUCAGAUGUUUGGGAAAUUUCUCUGCUUCGGUCAUUCCUCAAGAGUUAAAGAAUUCAGUUUGGGAAGAAAAACAGCUGAGACUCUUCCACAGCAGAGAAAAUAAACAAGGUGUGGGGAGUACCCAUCCCCUCGCCCACUCAGCUCCAGACCCGCACACAAUGUCUGACUUCAGAGGAAGCGUUGGGAUCUCCCUGGGAGGGAGCAGACGCAGAAGCAAAAUCUCCACUCGUGAAAACAUGCUUGUCUCCCUUCUGAAGUGUGAACACGACUGGCACCAGGCUGAUUCUGGGGUUUCUCCUGUGGCCAGUCAAGGCAGCCUGGCCUGCUUGACGAAGCCCUCUGCCACAGCAGGGCACCAGGCACCACGCGAAGGUUGCUCCACGAGCCUCUUUAUUCCAGCUUGAUGAUUACAUCCAUUUUCCGGACCAGAAAACUGAGGUGUAAGGUCAUUAAAAAUGGGGGUUGGUAUCUGGCCUCUGACAGAGGUGACUAUGGACCAUUCUCAAAUGCCUUCCCUGGCACUUUAGCCUUGAACCUUCAGGUGCGCUCAUGGGGGCAUCCGUGUGGCAGGCAGCAGCACGGGGCUGGGAGGUGCCCGUGAGAGUGAGUGUGUGUAUGCCACGCCAGAGGGAAAUGCGGGCACAUCAAGAAGAAUAUGACUUGGCACCCGUCCACACUGCUGCUCUUUAAAUAUUAGGUCAACGUUUAUCUAGAGGAUAGAAUGGUGCGCACCUCUCUACAGGUGUGGUAUGCAGGCGGGGUGGGAGGACAGGCAGCAGAGGCUGUGCCCCCAACUGCAUGCCACACUCACAGAAACAAAAGCCCUGACCCCCUUUCUAGAGAAGACAAUUUAGUGCCCAUCUGUUACUCCAGCUCACCCUUUUGGGGGUCCCACCUACUUCCAAAAUGGCUUUCAAAGUAUUUGUUCCAACUCCACACAAUUAUCUCCCUGGAAGGAGUUCUCAGAAGUACAAUUUUCCACCCCUUGACAAUUUAGUGACAUUUUUACGCCCCUCCUCUCAACAGACUGGUCCUGUGUCAUGUGUCGUGUGCAUGUGUGUGUGUGUGUGUGUGUGGUCAGGCUGGUGAUUUAGCGAUGAGCCUGUUCCUUAUAUAGAAAGUGUGUGUGACACCCUUCAUGUGGUCACACACUGUCUUAUCCAGAGUUCAUGCCCUUCCAAGUAAAGAAGAGACACAGGGUGGUAUUUUCUUAGGAGAUUAUUAGACCCACUGGAAUGUAACAAGAGCAUUUAGCAAUGGUGAGGAAUAAAUAUCCCCACUUGCUGGACAGCUGUCUUUCCUCUGCCCCCUCCCUUUCCUUAGCCGCCUCUGACCCUUUCUCUCCCAGGGACAAAAACGUAUCACCCAGAGGAGCGUGUGGACAUAAACAGGGCUGGAAAGGGCUAUCACCUGCACGAUCCCCGUUCACAUCAUGACGUUUCACACCUGUCCAGGGAUUCCCUUUCUCGGAAUGCACACUACCUACGGCCUUGAAUUGGAUUUACCCACUAUCCCAUUUCAUGUCCUCUUAGCCUGAC